Molecule: transfer RNA, 74 nt
Filed under: Candidatus Portnoybacteria bacterium RBG_19FT_COMBO_36_7
Lineage: Bacteria; Candidatus Portnoyibacteriota
Description: tRNA-Met
Rfam family: tRNA
About the family: Transfer RNA (tRNA) molecules are approximately 80 nucleotides in length.
Source: RNAcentral
AGCGGGGUAGAGAAGUAGUAUCUCGGGGGUCUCAUAAGCCCCAGACCCGGGUGCAAGUCCCGGCCCCGCAACCA